GAUGAACGCUGGCGGCGUGCCUAAUACAUGCAAGUCGAGCGAACAGACGAGGAGCUUGCUCCUCUGACGUUAGCGGCGGACGGGUGAGUAACACGUGGAUAACCUACCUAUAAGACUGGGAUAACUUCGGGAAACCGGAGCUAAUACCGGAUAACAUGUUGAACCGCAUGGUUCAACAGUGAAAGACGGUCUUGCUGUCCCUUAUAGAUGGAUCCGCGCCGCAUUAGCUAGUUGGUAAGGUAACGGCUUACCAAGGCAACGAUGCGUAGCCGACCUGAGAGGGUGAUCGGCCACACUGGAACUGAGACACGGUCCAGACUCCUACGGGAGGCAGCAGUAGGGAAUCUUCCGCAAUGGGCGAAAGCCUGACGGAGCAACGCCGCGUGAGUGAAGAAGGUCUUCGGAUCGUAAAACUCUGUUAUUAGGGAAGAACAAAUGUGUAAGUAACUAUGCACGUCUUGACGGUACCUAAUCAGAAAGCCACGGCUAACUACGUG
This 497-nucleotide ribosomal RNA is filed under the name uncultured bacterium. RNAcentral describes it as "partial 16S ribosomal RNA". It matches the Rfam family "Bacterial small subunit ribosomal RNA", at positions 28 to 507 of the family's 1533-position model. The record is from RNAcentral.